Gossypium raimondii (Peruvian cotton) is the source of this 143-nucleotide non-coding RNA. NCBI's taxonomy places the organism in Eukaryota, Viridiplantae, Streptophyta, Magnoliopsida, Malvales, Malvaceae. The record is from Rfam.
UGUUAAAAAUUUCAUCCAUUGUACUGUUAAAACUGACGUGGAUGACGAAAUAACCAGACAGUGACAUGUGGUGUGCCACGUAUACAAUAUGUUGAUAUAUUGAGACCCGUUUUUAAAAGUAAAAAUGGAUAAAAAUUUUAACA